GAUGGAAGAGGGACAGAGAAAGUUGAGUGGGAAUGACUCCAAGGACCCUUUGAAGAUUAUUGAUAUACUCAUUGUCUUAUGUUGAUGGUUCAUCAUAUUACAUAUGUGAAAAUGAAUCAAAUUGUAUGCUUUUAAGUCUUAGGACAUACAGAACUCUACAGCCUCAGAGUUGAGAGUGCCAAACUCUCAGAGCUCUCAGUUGUGACAAAACAUAACCUGGGAUGUUCAAGGCUAGGCUCCAUUACCAGCUGAGUGACUCACCAGCUCAUGCAGAAUACAUGAGAUUCAAAUUUGUGGCCGAGCAAAACUUCAAAUAACUCCAAAUUAUGAUUCCAGGGCUGCUUGGGAAUUGUUCAUCCUGUCUUUCAGCAUUUGCACAGUAUUUAUUCAACAAAUUAUAAUAUCAGAGCUAGUAAUGAAUACGAAGCCUCUCAACUUCUUGUUCUAUAAUUCUGCUGGGUUGUAUAAAAUCAUGGACCUCAAGAUCCUAUGACAUUA
Canis lupus familiaris (dog) is the source of this 498-nucleotide long non-coding RNA. RefSeq lists it as uncharacterized. The record is from RefSeq and is a predicted model, not a curated record. The transcript is spliced from 2 exons. NCBI's taxonomy places the organism in Eukaryota, Metazoa, Chordata, Mammalia, Carnivora, Canidae.